This 1354-nucleotide long non-coding RNA is filed under the name Panax ginseng (ginseng). RNAcentral's name for it is "long non-coding RNA (PGIN_LNC017788)". Lineage: Eukaryota; Viridiplantae; Streptophyta; Magnoliopsida; Apiales; Araliaceae. The record is from RNAcentral.
GAUGCUAGAACUCAAUUGAUAUUCUAUUUACUCUUGACAUACAAAGUCUACAAUGCACAAACAAUAUAAUUUUUCUUUAUAUGCUCUGAAUUUGCAUGUUUCAUCUAUCAGGAAGCUUCUCAGAAAGGCCUCCCUGUUUGCCGCCACCUAUUUCUUCACUACCCAGAUGAUGAACAUGUGCAUAGCUUGACAUAUGAGCAAUUUCUUGUUGGUACAGAGAUUCUAUUAGUGCCUGUUCUAGACAAAGGCAAAAAGAAUGUUAAGGCCUAUUUUCCAAUAGGAGAAAGGUAUCCAUGGAAACAUAUUUGGACAGGAAAUCUAUACGAAGAACAAGGUUCAGAAGCAUGGGUCGAAGCUCCAAUUGGUUAUCCUGCGGUUUUUAUUAAGGAUGGCUCGGUUAUUGGAGAGACCUUUAUGAAAUAACUAAUAGAAUUCAAUAUUUUGUAAAGAAGUAGCCACAAAGAUGUAUACAUCAGAAUAUAGUUGUCAACUUUUCAAGAUUGUAGGUGCUCCCAUCCUUGUAUGCAGCAAGCCAGAAGUUAUAUUUUUGUAUGUUAGAUUACAAUUGGUUGUACAAUCCAAAUAAUCUGUACAGUGUAAUUAUUUCAGUUUUUGCUAUAUCAGUAUCAUUAUGUACUUGCAAAGUAAUUAGUUAAUGAUCAACAGCCUAUAAUCUCGGAGGUUCCUGCAUAAAAAUUCAGCACCAUUCAGACAUUAAAACAAACAUCUUCGUGUAUCAAUCAAGAAUACUUCUUCAGGCAUUAAAACAAAGUAACAAACAUCUUCAUGUAUCAAUCAAGAAGACUUCUUUUCCUCUGAAAGCUGCUUCUAAUUGACCAAAAUUUGACACCCAACAAUUCAAAUUAUAAACACGAAUCCCCCAUAUAAGGAAAUUCAAUAAUAACAAUCAUUCUAAUUUCUCAAGAAGCAGUUAAUUGGUCAAACCCAUAAAGUAAAAUAGAUAGUAAACUUGCUAAAACACAAAAGGACACUAUUUAUGACCAAUCAGAUUGAAAAAAAGAGCUACUAUCGCAUCUUUCUUCUUGUGAUUUUGUUCUUUCUUCAAAAUUUAAAAACUGAAAAGUAGAAUGAGCUAACUUAUUUGGGGCACUGAAGAAAAAUUGUUAUAUAACUUGGCUGAAGGAAACUCACCUUUCCAAAGAAAAUUGGAAAAGCUUCGUAGCAAAAGAAUGAAGUGAGAUUGAGAUUGAGACAGACCAAGAUCUGAAUACAGGGGCUUGUCAUUUGUUUGAGCUUUUUCCAGACUUGUUCCGUACGACAGUUAAAAAUAUAACUGAUUCGGAUACUAUGCGGGAUAUUCGCUCUCAUUUCACGUCGGAGUGUGGGACUGUUU